AAGUUUAGGUUAGCACUCAAACCAAGGACCUUCAAAGCCCUAAACAGGGGACAACCCCCCUAUCUUCUG
Molecule: transfer RNA, 69 nt
Filed under: Pachydactylus namaquensis
Lineage: Eukaryota; Metazoa; Chordata; Lepidosauria; Squamata; Gekkonidae
Description: tRNA-Trp
Rfam family: tRNA
About the family: Transfer RNA (tRNA) molecules are approximately 80 nucleotides in length.
Source: RNAcentral